GACGAACGCUGGCGGCGUGCUUAACACAUGCAAGUCGAACGGAAAGGCCCUGCUUUUGUGGGGUGCUCGAGUGGCGAACGGGUGAGUAACACGUGAGUAACCUGCCCUUGACUUUGGGAUAACUUCAGGAAACUGGGGCUAAUACCGGAUAGGAGCUCCUGCUGCAUGGUGGGGGUUGGAAAGUUUCGGCGGUUGGGGAUGGACUCGCGGCUUAUCAGCUUGUUGGUGGGGUAGUGGCUUACCAAGGCUUUGACGGGUAGCCGGCCUGAGAGGGUGACCGGCCACAUGGGGACUGAGAUACGGCCCAGACGCCUACGGGAGGCAGCAGUGGGGAAUAUUGCACAAUGGGCGGAAGCCUGAUGCAGCAACGCCGCGUGCGGGAGGACGGCCUUCGGGUUGGAAACCGCUUUCGCCUGUGACGAAGCGUGAGUGACGGGAAUGGGUAAAGAAGCACCGGCUAACUACGG
This 467-nucleotide ribosomal RNA is filed under the name uncultured bacterium. RNAcentral's name for it is "partial 16S ribosomal RNA". It matches the Rfam family "Bacterial small subunit ribosomal RNA", at positions 28 to 506 of the family's 1533-position model. The record is from RNAcentral.